RNAcentral lists this ribosomal RNA (429 nucleotides) under Acidobacteriota bacterium. RNAcentral's name for it is "Acidobacteria bacterium partial 16S ribosomal RNA". It matches the Rfam family "Bacterial small subunit ribosomal RNA", at positions 355 to 776 of the family's 1533-position model. Lineage: Bacteria; Pseudomonadati; Acidobacteriota. The record is from RNAcentral.
UGGGGAAUUUUGGACAAUGGGGGAAACCCUGAUCCAGCAAUCCCGCGUGUGCGAUGAAGGCCUUCGGGUUGUAAAGCACUUUUGGCAGGAAAGAAACGUCAUGGGUUAAUACCCCGUGAAACUGACGGUACCUGCAGAAUAAGCACCGGCUAACUACGUGCCAGCAGCCGCGGUAAUACGUAGGGUGCAAGCGUUAAUCGGAAUUACUGGGCGUAAAGCGUGCGCAGGCGGUUCGGAAAGAAAGAUGUGAAAUCCCAGAGCUCAACUUUGGAACUGCAUUUUUAACUACCGGGCUAGAGUGUGUCAGAGGGAGGUGGAAUUCCGCGUGUAGCAGUGAAAUGCGUAGAUAUGCGGAGGAACACCGAUGGCGAAGGCAGCCUCCUGGGAUAACACUGACGCUAAUGCACGAAAGCGUGGGGAGCAAACAGG